This 1135-nucleotide long non-coding RNA is filed under the name Ricinus communis (castor bean). Its description in RNAcentral is "long non-coding RNA (RCOM_LNC000408)". The record is from RNAcentral. Lineage: Eukaryota; Viridiplantae; Streptophyta; Magnoliopsida; Malpighiales; Euphorbiaceae.
UCUAACAAAACCUUGAUAUCUAUUUAAAAAAACAACCUUCAUAUCAAUAAGCAGGACGAACUCUUCUUCUUUAUUAAUCUUUGUUUAGUGAUCCACAAGGGACCACCCUAACGGUUCAAACUUAAUAUAACCAAAUUCUAUUAAGUUAUUCUCUCAGAAGACGAACAGUUUGGGAACAUAUGCAACUGGUCAAUUAUUGUUUAAUAUUCUUCAGAGCAUCCUGCAAGUUUCUCACAGGUUUCCAUUGAAAUGGGAAGCACAUUCGUCUAAAAACAAAAAAUGAGAAGCACAGCAACCUGGAUUGUUCAAGCAAGCACAUGGAAAUUGCGACACAAUUGCAAUAAGGAAUAUAAAUUAUUGCUUGCAGAUAAUGUUACCAUUUUGCUGACCAGUUAAAAGAAUCAGAGUCUCCAAGAAGACACCCAAUACAGCAAUGAAUGAGCAUCUUCUGCUGGUCUCAUAUCCGAGCAAUUGCUUGGAAAUAGCAAUGCCCUCACUGCAUGCACAUCUAUAUAAUAACAGCGAGGAAGAGAAAGCAACACAUUUUCUGCUUGGAGUGCUUAGAAUAAUCAUUUUCUUAUCCAAUAAAUUCAACUCGUAUGGAUAGUGUCAUUCGUCUGUAUUUGGAGAUACAGCAAGUGAAAUCUUAUGAGGACAAUUCUGGUAGCCAUUAACAAGGCAUGGUAAACAUGAUACCCGCCAUUGUUGCAGGAGAUGUUCGAGGGUUGAGAAAUAGACAGGAAAAUGAUAUCUUCAAAAAAUAAUGUCACAAUCCAAAUUACCUUUAUUUCAAGAUUUCUCAUUCUCUCUCCUCUUUCUUUUACGUUAAUAUGUACUAGUCAACUGCACCAAUGCGAUUUUAACGGAAAAGAAAUGAGUUCGAUUCAUUUACUUGUCUAUUCUGGGAACCCGCAGAUAUCUCCUGCAGCAAUUGGUGAAAUCAAUUUACAUUGCCUCGUAAAUUUCUGCCACAUUCUGCUUCACCUUCACUAGCAUCAUCUUUAAAUAACGGAGGCCGACAUAAUCAGUUUGAGCCGAAUUUAUUGGAUUUGGAAUGAUAUGCUCCUAUAAAUGAAAGCGAUCAUCCAAGUUUUCCUGGUGAUGUUCUUUUUCUUUUUCCCUUCAUGAGUCUCAU